This 497-nucleotide ribosomal RNA is filed under the name uncultured bacterium. RNAcentral's name for it is "partial 16S ribosomal RNA". It matches the Rfam family "Bacterial small subunit ribosomal RNA", at positions 28 to 507 of the family's 1533-position model. The record is from RNAcentral.
GAUGAACGCUGGCGGCGUGCCUAAUACAUGCAAGUCGAGCGAACAGACGAGGAGCUUGCUCCUCUGACGUUAGCGGCGGACGGGUGAGUAACACGUGGAUAACCUACCUAUAAGACUGGGAUAACUUCGGGAAACCGGAGCUAAUACCGGAUAAUAUAUAGAACCGCAUGGUUCAAUAGUGAAAGACGGUUUUGCUGUCACUUAUAGAUGGAUCCGCGCCGCAUUAGCUAGUUGGUAAGGUAACGGCUUACCAAGGCAACGAUGCGUAGCCGACCUGAGAGGGUGAUCGGCCACACUGGAACUGAGACACGGUCCAGACUCAUACGGGAGGCAGCAGUAGGGAAUCUUCCGCAAGGGGCGAAAGCCUGACGAAGCAACGCCGAGUGAGUGAUGAAGGUCUUCGGAUCGUAAUACUAUGUUAUUAGGGAAGAACAAAUGUGUAAGUAACUAUGCACGUCUUGACGGUACCUAAUCAGAAAGCCACGGCUAACUACGUG